UACGGAGGGGGCAAGUGUUGUUCGGAAUUACUGGGCGUAAAGGGCGCGCAGGCGGCUUGGCAAGUCGGGUGUGAAAUACCUCAGCUUAACUGAGGAACGGCGCUCGAAACUACCUCGCUUGAGGGCGGGAGAGGGAAGUGGAACUCUCGGUGUAGGGGUGAAAUCUGUAGAUAUCGAGAGGAACACCGGUGGCGAAGGCGGCUUCCUGGCCAGUACCUGACGCUGAGGCGCGAAAGCGUGGGGAGCAAACAGG
This 253-nucleotide ribosomal RNA is filed under the name uncultured bacterium. RNAcentral describes it as "partial 16S ribosomal RNA". It matches the Rfam family "Bacterial small subunit ribosomal RNA", at positions 524 to 776 of the family's 1533-position model. The record is from RNAcentral.